This is a long non-coding RNA of Wyeomyia smithii (pitcher-plant mosquito), 348 nucleotides long. RefSeq lists it as uncharacterized. The transcript is spliced from 2 exons. The record is from RefSeq and is a predicted model, not a curated record. Lineage: Eukaryota; Metazoa; Arthropoda; Insecta; Diptera; Culicidae.
UCAGUUGUUUACUCCGGGUCUCUGUACGGAUACGAGUACGAAAUCGACAUGAAAUUCAUCCUAGUUCUUGCUAUGCUUAUGGCUGUCGCCUAUGCCAACGAUGACUUAACAAACCAGUUGCUGGAACUACAGAAAGCCAUCGACAUCGAUCCGGAACAGGCCCAUGGAUGGUUCAGUAACGUUGUUGGUUUUGUGACGAAGAACGCUGGAGCCAUCGGAAGUAUUGCCAAAGGCGUCAUUGCAAUCGCGGGCUAAGCAACGGAUCUAACGGAUGUCUAAAUAGGUUAUUAUCCAGCAAACGAGUUUAAAAUUGUGCAAAAUAAAUUUUAUUUGUAUGAUAAAAUGCAA